RNAcentral lists this ribosomal RNA (250 nucleotides) under uncultured prokaryote. RNAcentral describes it as "partial 16S ribosomal RNA". It matches the Rfam family "Bacterial small subunit ribosomal RNA", at positions 524 to 774 of the family's 1533-position model. The record is from RNAcentral.
CACGUAGGGGGCGAGCGUUAUCCGGAUUCAUUGGGCGUAAAGCGCGCGCAGGCUGCCGCCUAAGCGGGACCUCUAAUCCCGGGGCUCAACCCCGGGCCUGGUCCCGAACUGGGCGGCUCGGGUGCGGUAGGGGAGGUCGGAAUUCCCGGUGUAGCGGUGGAAUGCGCAGAUAUCGGGAGGAACACCGACGGCGAAGGCAGGCCUCUGGGCCGCCACCGACGCUGAGGCGCGAAAGUGUGGGGAGCAAACA